UGAAAUGUUAACUCAGACGGAGUCCUUGUAGUUGUGUUCGAUGGCUGAUAUUUCUCCAAAAUUAUUGUUUAUUCAUGCACACGUAGCAAUCACGCACUCAUUCAUAUGCGCCGUACAAUCAGUGGGAUUGAUUGUGUUAAGAAAAUCAUUCAUAAUGUUUUACUGCUCUCUGCAGGGAGGAAAACAACCCCCUAGGGACAAUAGCUGUAAAAUGUGCCCCGUGUCCUUGUGCACUCAUUGGUGGGACAGCACCUUGGUGAGGACCUCUGAUUGGCUAUCGGCUGCUUUUGCCACGAACCAAUCGGUGCUUCUGUAUCCAAGUCAACUUGGAAUGUUGAGCUAUUUAAAUCCCGAGAAGAUGGAUCUAAAUGAUUUACUUUUACAUUGAAUAUCGUUUGAUUGAAAAGUUCAUCGCUGUAUAUGUUUAAGAUAUUGGGUGACGUCCAGCCCAGUGUUUCUGUACCUUCUGAUGUUUGUCCAAAAGGGCUGAAUUGUGGGACAUCCAGCGACAGAUUGACUCUCUGUGAGCCCAGAAGUUCAGAGGCUCCACAGGGACGUGCUCCUCCUGAGCUUUAACACCGCAGUGCGCUACAUGAUCAGGGAGGCAUUCCGACGCUGGAAACCUCUCGGCCUAUCAGACUGUGAGUGAAAACAUGAGCCACGCCCUCCCUCUCUUGAGUGACAGCAUGAUAGGAGGAGCCAGUUUCCUUUCUGUUCCUGAGCUGCUAGAACCGGCCAGUUUUCAGGUGAGGAAUCACCAGGCCUGUCCAGCAUAUAGCAAACAGGAUGCACCUGUGACUGAACCCAGAGGAGAUCAAAGAGCACGGUGGGAGCAUGGCGCUGGGCCUGAUUCUCUCUGCAGGCUGUCAUUAGAAAGCCAAUAAACUUCACCACAGCUAGUCUCUUAUAUUUAGGAUAUUGAUUUUCAUCUCAACAAGAACAACAACAAAAUAGUCCUCUCUGAAAUGCAUGGGAUUCACAUGACUUCACAUGUCAUUAAGAACUGUGGAAACGUCGAUUGAGGAGCAUUUCAUCCAGCGGUGUUGAGCGUGAGAUUGAUGGACAGGUGAUGUUCUCCAGCGCUCAUCUCCAGGAGUGUUUGACUGAACUGGCUUUUCUGCAAUGAAUCAUGAGCGGAGUGUCUUCAAGCGAUAUUCCCAGUUUUAUGAGUCAAUCCUUCAACAGCAGGAACAACUUCUUUACCAGAGAGAGCAGGUUUGUCUACACCAUUCAUGUUUUUUUGUCUCUUUUGCUUGUUUGUGUGUAUUACUCCAUGUUUCUUGACUACAUGUUCAGUAAACACGUCUGAUUUCCGGUGGCGGAUGUGUGUCGUGGCUC
Molecule: long non-coding RNA, 1338 nt
Organism: Carassius auratus (goldfish)
Lineage: Eukaryota; Metazoa; Chordata; Actinopteri; Cypriniformes; Cyprinidae
Exons: 5
Source: RefSeq, a predicted model, not a curated record